RNAcentral lists this ribosomal RNA (1476 nucleotides) under Triticum aestivum (bread wheat). Its description in RNAcentral is "partial small subunit ribosomal RNA". Lineage: Eukaryota; Viridiplantae; Streptophyta; Magnoliopsida; Poales; Poaceae. The record is from RNAcentral.
AUGGCAUCGCCGUCGCUGUCGCCGUCGGCGCGCGCGCCGAGGGAUCGCCUGAGCGACCUCCCGGACUUCUUGCUCGGCAACAUCCUCUCCUACCUCCCCACCAAGGAGGCCGGCUGCGCGGCGGGGCUGUCCCGCCGGUGGCGCAACAUCUUCUGCAACGUGCACGCCAUCUCGUUCGAGGAGCGCGAGGGCGAGAGGGCCAAGGACUGGGACACCUUCUACUACGAGGCCGAGGAGAGGAAGAGCUGCAGCGGCGUGAUCCUCGACGACGUCUGCUCCGCGCUCCUCUGCCGCCGCCGCACCGCCGGCGCCCACGUGCCGCUGCGCAGCUUCCGCUUCGCCUUCGACGACUGCCACCACUGGAACGCCGUGCACGUCGACCAGUGGCUCACCUACGUGCUGCGGACCAACCGCCAUCACGAGCUCCACCUCGACCUCUGCUUCUGGCUCGGCCCCAUCUGCCGGCGCCGCAAGCGUGAUCGCUACGGGGGCGAGGAAGAAGAAGAGGUGGGCAGCGGCACCGACAACUCGGACGCCGAGGAGGAACGGAGGAAGUGGAGACCGUGGUCCUAUGUCCUCCCACGAGGGCUCUUCUCGUGCACCGCCAUACGGACGCUGCGCAUCAGCAACUGCCGGAUGAAUCUGCCCAAGACCGUCGAGCUGCCGUUCCUCGAGACGCUGAGCAUCACCGCCCCGCGCCGCGACGGCGGGAGAAGCGUCCAGCGGCUGAUCUCGAGCUGCCUCCGCCUCGUCGACCUGACGCUGCAGUCCAUCGACCGCCUCACCACCGUCUCCGUCCUCGACAAGCGCCUCCGCCGGCUCGCCAUCCGCUGCUGCCACAGCCUGAGGACCGUCCACAUCGACGCGUCGGAGCUGAGGUCGCUGGACUACUCCGGCGCGGCGCCCGCAGAGUCGCUGCUCUCCCUGCACGGCGCAGCAGGGAUCCCAUCCUGCACCGUCAACUUCUGCCAAGCACCGUCCUCUGAGUCAGAGCGCGACAGGUUCACGAGGUUCAUGGAGAAGAUCUCUGCCGCGAGGAACCUGCACCUGCACCACCAACACUUGCCCUACAGCUGCUUCGAGGGCUUCCCCUCCUUCUCCAGCCUGACGCGGCUGGCGCUGCAAGGUGCUCUACUGAUCCCCGGCGCGAUGCGCCGGGUCCUGGAGCAGGCGCCCAACCUGGAGAUCCUCACGCUGCUCAUGGAGUUCUCCACGGUUCCCGAAAGGCUCACGGCCCCCGACGAGUCGAGCUUCUCGGUGCCGUGCUUGCGGAGCCGGGUGAAGGAGAUCAACAUGGUUCAUUACCAGGGUGAUGCGCUGCAGAGGAUGAUGGCCAGGCUCUUGUUCCGGAACGCGCUGGUCCUCGAGAGGAUGUGCGUCGUGCUCGUCAAGGGGCCGUUCGCGUUGCAGUAUGGGCUCAAGAAGGAGAUCGAAGGCUGGAUGGUGGCCGGCCACGUCGAGAAGGUUUUCCUUUGA